UCUUAGUGUUUUGCACUAUAACAAAACAUGUAUUAUAUGUGAAAUCGGUACAUAGAUAUUCAAUCUACACCAUAUCCAUCUUUUCAAAGGAGCUUUAUAAGUUUUUCAAGUCGAUUAACGCCAACUUUGUUUUAAUAAAUUGAUUUCUUUAGUAGACCAAUUAUUUGUUAGGUCAGACCAUACCCAACCAUCUAUACUUAUAAAGAAUGUGUAAGGACUCUCAGAAAUGAGUUGGAAGGAAGACCAUGCCGUUUUGAAAAUCCAUACUCUGCUGAAAGUAACAAUUGCAUCUAAACAAUCUCUUGGUGCUGACAGAAUAACGCACUUUUCGUCAACGAAGGUCUUUAACUCUCCAAACAACAAGAUUUUAACUUAAGUAGGUCUGUUUAAGAAAUUCGAUGGACCAAGUACAUUGUUGAUAUGUGGACCAGAAGCCACAGCAACAGUAAUAGAAAUAUUUGAAUAAACAAUGCGAAAGAGCAAGUUUAUCUGCGACCUCAUUUGCUGAAAUUCAUCCUUCUGCAUUCUUCCGCUUUGGAGGAAAUGAAAAAUUUACUUGGAGAAUGUACAAAAGGAGUUAGAUUCUUUACUCUUCUGCAGAUUCAUUCAAAGGAUCGCUCAAUUAUGACGAUCCCAAAGUAAAAUAUUUUGGUACUGUAUGCUGAAAAAAAAUAAAAUAAAACUGAUCAAGAAUGAAGUUGUAAUAGAGAAAAUAAUAGAAUACAAGACUCUUAUAAGACCUAGCUCUUGAAUUCAUCAAGACUUACGUAAUCGAAUACGCAAAUCAAGUUAACAAACAAAAAAAAAGAAUGCGAUAUUGGUGAAGUGUUUUGUGGCUAAAUGUUCGCUUCCGAACAUUAAUGGAAAAUUCCGAAAAUUAGUGGAAAAGCAAGUUUUAAAAGGAUUUACUUGUUGAUACUAUCUUAAAAACCCAAUAAAGGCUAUUUAGUUCAUUUUCACAACGUUUUUGUAAAUCCAAGUCCAUUGGAAAUAUUUUAUGUGCGGCGUCCAUGGCCUCUUCGUUGGAUUGAAGUACCUCCAGUCCCACAAACUUCAUUUUCC
Molecule: long non-coding RNA, 1062 nt
Organism: Phymastichus coffea
Lineage: Eukaryota; Metazoa; Arthropoda; Insecta; Hymenoptera; Eulophidae
Exons: 5
Source: RefSeq, a predicted model, not a curated record